AUUGCCUCUACUGGUGUUUUGUAGUGAGUGCAGCAUAAGGUGGGAGCUUAUGACAGAAACACUUAACAGAAAAAGUGCUAAAAUCUCCUUAGCUGUAUCCAAGCAAGAUCCUGCACUCUAUUGCAAACUGCCAAGGUUGUUGUUUCAGCUAACAUUGGUGGAAGAUCUGAAUUGAAGUACUGUGAGGCAGACAGCUGCUCAUCAUUUGUCCUCUUGCAAAGAAGAUGCAAGAAAUGUGGUAUGUACUGAGGAAAUAUGAGAAUGUAAGAAUUUGAAUAAAAAAGAAUGCACAGAAAUGUUGGCAGUAUAGUUUGCCCAUGGUGGACUUGACCU
This is a long non-coding RNA of Lagopus leucura (white-tailed ptarmigan), 333 nucleotides long. RefSeq lists it as uncharacterized. Lineage: Eukaryota; Metazoa; Chordata; Aves; Galliformes; Phasianidae. The record is from RefSeq and is a predicted model, not a curated record. The transcript is spliced from 3 exons.